This 584-nucleotide ribosomal RNA is filed under the name uncultured bacterium. Its description in RNAcentral is "partial 16S ribosomal RNA". It matches the Rfam family "Bacterial small subunit ribosomal RNA", at positions 355 to 1375 of the family's 1533-position model. The record is from RNAcentral.
UGGGGAAUUUUGGACAAUGGGCGAAAGCCUGAUCCAGCAAUGCCGCGUGUGUGAAGAAGGCCUUCGGGUUGUAAAGCACUUUUGUCCGGAAAGAAAUCCUUGGCUCUAAUACAGUCGGGGGAUGACGGUACCGGAAGAAUAAGCACCGGCUAACUACGUGCCAGCAGCCGCGGUAAUACGUAGGGUGCAAGCGUUAAUCGGAAUUACUGGGCGUAAAGCGUGCGCAGGCGGUUUGCUAAGACCGAUGUGAAAUCCCCGGGCUCAACCUGGGAACUGCAUUGGUGACUGGCAGGCUAGAGUAUGGCAGAGGGGGGUAGAAUUCCACGUGUAGCAGUGAAAUGCGUAGAGAUGUGGAGGAAUACCGAUGGCGAAGGCAGCCCCCUGGGCCAAUACUGACGCUCAUGCACGAAAGCGUGGGGAGCAAACAGGAUUAGAUACCCUGGUAGUCCACGCCCUAAACGAUGUCAACUAGUUGUGGGGAUUCAUUUCCUUAGUAACGUAGCUAACGCGUGAAGUUGACCGCCUGGGGAGUACGGUCGCAAGAUUAAAACUUAAAGGAAUUGACGGGGUCAUAGCUGUUUCCU